AAAUGAAGAGCAGAAACGCCCCCACUGUGACCUUACAACAAUGUCACACUGGACAAGACACCCGGCACCACAGGGCCUGAGCUGGCUGAAGCCCUUGUCACCACCCAGGGACUGCCCCAGGGCUCUCCAGCCCUCUUCUGAGCUUGCUAGAUGUGUUCUGCAGUGACAGUGACGCCUACCUCUCUCUCUGAGGGAUUUCAGAGACAAACACCCGGGCCACCAGAGUCCAUCCCACCCAGGAUCUCCAGAGCCAGCCCACUCCCCAUCGACUUGGUGAGCUCAAGAGUCUGAGAAAACAGCAAACAGGUACCCACGCAGCUAACCUGGCACCACAGGGAAGCCCUAGGAUGAUCUUUUUAAGACAAAAGCUCUUGCUGUCUUCACGACUAAACUACACAACCUUCUACUUACAAACAUGGAGGGACCUAACCACCGCAGCGCUGCAAUCGAAGCUUGCCAUUACGCUAAUUAGCUUUCCACCCGCUAGCAGCCCGGGUCCCAUCUGACUUCCCUCCCAUAUGACAACGAGGAGAACAAAGCUCGAGCAGCCUUCAGCCCACGGACAGUUUUACUUCGCGGAUUCCAAAGCGCGCUCGGCCACUUACAACGCGACCUCUGCUGACCAGGCGCGUCUUCUGGGGACCUUCUGUGAUGGAGGGAAAGUAACAAAGCAUACCUUCGCCCAAACCCCCGUUUUGCCAUCCCUCAACCGCACAAAGAAUGCUUUCUUCCACUCGUCUCCUCCAGGCCGUGGCUUAGCUGCAGUCCCGUCCCCCCCGCCCCCCGACCGUGGCUCCAGGCACUGCGUCCGCCCUUUCAUCGCAGCUUCUCUUAGCAUAACGGGUCCAGCUCCUGCCGCCCAUUUCCACCCGACGCCGCAGUCCGCAGCUCUCCGCAGGGCAGGCAGGCUCGCCAUCCCGGCCACCGCCGACGGCCGGGAGGAGCCCUACUCAGUGCCAUUGCUGCCCUUCAUUGUUUUCAAGCCAACUGCCAUCUUAUCAUCAUCCAUCCAUCUUACCACCCUGCACACGACGGCAGCAAACGCGUCCCCACGGGGCAUUCUAUGGAUUUCCGAAAGCAGCUAGCUAUUCUUUGCGGAUUUACCAACCACGCGCCUUUCCCGAAUCCCCCCCGCCCGCCCAUCGCCACGGAAACGGCUUUGUGAGGCCGGAAAAUAACAUUUUUUUUUUUUAAGUUCCUUUAAGGGACAAGGGACAGGCUCUUAAGAUUUUCGGCUUUCCUAGCACCUACUGGGCACAGCAGAGAGAGAAACGUCGGGAUAAAGAUCUUCAUAUGUA
This is a long non-coding RNA of Mastomys coucha (southern multimammate mouse), 1298 nucleotides long. RefSeq lists it as uncharacterized. Lineage: Eukaryota; Metazoa; Chordata; Mammalia; Rodentia; Muridae. The record is from RefSeq and is a predicted model, not a curated record. The transcript is spliced from 2 exons.